CCUAUGUUAACAGGAUCACUACAAUGACUCAAGCUGUCAUCAUUACAUUUAUAGUCUCGAAUCUGUGGCUUCAAGUUCACUGCCAGGAUGUGACCCAGUACCCUGAAAUCAGAUGGAGUUAUUUGGAUAAAUCUGCAGAGAUGAACUGCAGCCACAAGAAAGAUAUUACUUAUACCCGGAUGAACUGGUACAGGCAGCGUCCAGGGGAGACCAUGACCCUCAUUGUCUACACAGCUUUCGGUGGACAGCCAGACUACAGCGGGGGCCCUCAAACCAAAUACUCAGCCAUCAAAGAGACCAUAGAGAGCGGGGCUCUUACUGUAAAAGACUUGAAGCUUGACGACAGCGGUGUGUAUUUUUGUGCUGUCAGCAAACACAGUGAUGUGAGAAGCUGA
Chelmon rostratus (copperband butterflyfish) is the source of this 395-nucleotide non-coding RNA. Lineage: Eukaryota; Metazoa; Chordata; Actinopteri; Chaetodontiformes; Chaetodontidae. The record is from the annotation of a RefSeq genome assembly.